Molecule: ribosomal RNA, 254 nt
Filed under: uncultured bacterium
Lineage: Bacteria
Description: partial 16S ribosomal RNA
Rfam family: Bacterial small subunit ribosomal RNA
Source: RNAcentral
UACGGAGGGUGCGAGCGUUGUCCGGAAUCAUUGGGCGUAAAGGGCGCGUAGGUGGCCCGGUCAGUCUUUGGUGAAAGCGCGGGGCUCAACCCUGCGUCGGCCAGGGAUACUGCCGCGGCUCGAGCACUGUAGAGGCAGGCGGAAUUCCGGGUGUAGCGGUGGAAUGCGUAGAGAUCCGGAAGAACACCGGUGGCGAAGGCGGCCUGCUGGGCUAUGGCUGACACUGAGGCGCGACAGCGUGGGGAGCAAACAGG